GUUGCUUGGAAAACUUUGAAAUAAGAUAUGCUGUUGUGUGCCAACACCAUGAUAAGUCCUGAAGAUACAAAGAUGACAGAGCCACAAGAAGGCCUUCACAGAGCUCAACCUCAGAAGGAUGACCAAGCCAACGACUAGGAAAGUGAUUCCGAUUGAAAGCUUUGCAGAUGUGCUGCCAGAACCUACAUGAAAGACAAAGGUAACUCAUGUCAAAGCUUCGCCUUAAGGAGCCUAAAAUAUGAUAGGGAGAUAAAAGUAGCACACAGGUUUACUUCUGAGGCAAUGGGAGAUAGACCACUGACAUAAGCCCGCAGCUAAUAGGAGUGUCAACUGGAAAAUCAGGAUGAAAAAUGCGUUUUUUGAAAGGAACUCCAAAUCCCAUCCUGCAAGUGAUUUGCAGGCAGACUCAAUUUGUUUCCUGUACCUGAGAUGCUUUCUUUCAAUCUCAGACUAUGAAAAGUGUU
Molecule: non-coding RNA, 464 nt
Organism: Heterocephalus glaber (naked mole-rat)
Lineage: Eukaryota; Metazoa; Chordata; Mammalia; Rodentia; Bathyergidae
Source: RefSeq, a predicted model, not a curated record